Molecule: ribosomal RNA, 418 nt
Filed under: Phrynovelia caledonica
Lineage: Eukaryota; Metazoa; Arthropoda; Insecta; Hemiptera; Mesoveliidae
Description: partial 16S ribosomal RNA
Source: RNAcentral
GUUCUAUAGAUUUUAAUUUUAGGUCUAACCUGCUCUAUGAUUUAUUUUAAAUUAAAUGGCUGCGGUAUUUUAACUGUACUAAGGUAGCAUAAUCAUUUGUCUUUUAAUUGGAGGCUAGAAUGAAUGGUUGGAUGAAAUACUAACUUUUUUGUAUUAAUAUUUUGAAUUUUAUUUUUUAGUUAAAAAGCUUAAAUUUUUUUAUGGGACGAGAAGACCCUAUAGAAUUUAAUUAUUGUUAAUUAAUUGUGUUUAUUUAUUUUAUAUAAUCAGUUAUUUUUAUAUAAUUUUGUUGGGGUGAUAGAAAAAUUUAUUUAACUUUUUUUUUGUUUUUCAUAAAUUAUUGUUUUUUUGAUCCUAAAUUUUGGAUUAUAAGAUUAAAUUACCUUAGGGAUAACAGCGUUAUUUUUUUGGAGAGUUC